GGAGAGGUGGCCGAGUAGGCUGAAGGCGGCACCCUGCUAAGGUGUUGUACGGGCAACUGUACCGAGGGUUCGAAUCCCUCCCUCUCCGCCA
This 91-nucleotide transfer RNA is filed under the name Deltaproteobacteria bacterium. RNAcentral describes it as "tRNA-Ser". It matches the Rfam family "tRNA". Rfam says of the family: Transfer RNA (tRNA) molecules are approximately 80 nucleotides in length. The record is from RNAcentral. Lineage: Bacteria; Pseudomonadati; Myxococcota; Myxococcia.